Molecule: long non-coding RNA, 719 nt
Organism: Gambusia affinis (western mosquitofish)
Lineage: Eukaryota; Metazoa; Chordata; Actinopteri; Cyprinodontiformes; Poeciliidae
Exons: 4
Source: RefSeq, a predicted model, not a curated record
UAGAAACACCGAUUUGCAGAAACAAAACACGUUUAGGUCUAUUGCUAUAACAAUACUUAAGUUUUGGGGGGAAAAAAUCUCAUGCGCUUAUUUGGUCACCUUGCUUGCACGGUCACUCGAGAGUGAUGGACUAUUUUAUGUUACGCCUACUUUUAUUCAAGCGGAAGGAUACGGAUCUAAGUGCCCAAACUCGGAGAGCUGAGGACGCGUUGGCUUUGCUUUUGAAAGACGUUCUCUGAUUGGAUAAGACAAACCCGCAUACUCUACCAGUGUAAAGGGGCCAGUGAUUGGCUCAGAAGGAUCUGCAAUGCGUCAAAGCACGGAGCGGCAAUGAGGGCAACGUCUCCACAGCUACAACGUAGUAGAAAAAAGAGCAGGUGAUGACUCGCAGGUAAUCUACAGGGACAUACUCAUCAUCACUUUCAGCCUCACCUCUGAGCUGCAUCCACCAGCUGCUUCCUAUGCUGUUCAGCAACAAUAGCAAACAGACGCGGUACCACACUGCUGCUGUUGUCUCUGGUUACAGAGUGGAAAAACCGGCGUGCCCGGCCGGCGCUAUGACCUGAACGUAAACACUCCACAGGGGGGCGCUGCAGGGCCAAGCUGAGAGGGAACAGCUUCUCGUACAGCAUCCAGCUGAGAGACAGAACAGCUCGAUGGGGAGGAGGAAGGAAAGGCUGCAGCAUGCUGAACACGUUGGAGAGAAACUUCUCACCCUG